UAAGAGGUCCCGCCUGCCCUGUGACUAUAAGUUUAACGGCCGCGGUAUUUUAACCGUGCGAAGGUAGCGCAAUCACUUGUCUUUUAAAUGAAGACCUGUAUGAAUGGCACAACGAGGGCUUGACUGUCUCCUUUUUCAAGUCAAUGAAAUUGAUCUCCCCGUGCAGAAGCGGGGAUAGAACCAUAAGACGAGAAGACCCUAUGAAGCUUCAGACACAAAGCAGCAUUACGUUAAAUACCCCCUACUACGGGACCAAACUAAAUAGGACCUGCUCUAAGUCUUUGGUUGGGGCGACCUUGGGGUAAUAAACAACCCCCAUGUGGAACGGGACUACCUUUCCUCACCUACAACUAAGAGUCACAACUCUAAUUAACAGAACUUCUGACCAUCAAUGAUCCGGCAACGCCGAUCAACGGACCAAGUUACUCUAGGGAUAACAGCGCAAUCCCCUUUUAGAGCCCAUAUCGACAAGGGGGUUUACGACCUCGAUGUUGGAUCAGGACAUCCUAAUGGUGCAGCCGCUAUUAAGGGUUCGUUUGUUCAACG
RNAcentral lists this ribosomal RNA (546 nucleotides) under Trachinus draco (greater weever). Its description in RNAcentral is "partial 16S large subunit ribosomal RNA". It matches the Rfam family "Bacterial large subunit ribosomal RNA", at positions 1846 to 2586 of the family's 2925-position model. The record is from RNAcentral. Lineage: Eukaryota; Metazoa; Chordata; Actinopteri; Perciformes; Trachinidae.